RNAcentral lists this ribosomal RNA (815 nucleotides) under Butyricicoccus intestinisimiae. RNAcentral's name for it is "partial 23S ribosomal RNA". It matches the Rfam family "Bacterial large subunit ribosomal RNA", at positions 393 to 1211 of the family's 2925-position model. The record is from RNAcentral. Lineage: Bacteria; Bacillati; Bacillota; Clostridia; Eubacteriales; Butyricicoccaceae.
CACGCUAGCAGUAUCCAGAGUACCACAGGACACGAGGAACCCUGUGGGAAUACGGGUGGACCAUCAUCCAAGCCUAAAUACUACCUGGUGACCGAUAGAGAAGCAGUACCGUGAGGGAAAGGUGAAAAGGACCCCGGGAGGGGAGUGAAAGAGAACCUGAAACCUUGUGCCUACAAGCACCGAGAGCAUGUUAAUGUGUGAUCGGGUACUUUUUGUAGAACGGUCCGGCGAGUUAAUGUAUGCAGCAAGGUUAAGAAACUGGAGUUUUGGAGCCGAAGCGAGAGCGAGUCUGAAUAGGGCGAGAAGUUGCAUGUAUUAGACCCGAAACCGGGUGACCUAUCCAUGAGCAGGCUGAAGUUGCGGUAAGACGCAAUGGAGGGCCGCACCCACGUUCGUUGAAAAGACCGGGGAUGACUUGUGGAUAGCGGAGAAAUUCCAAUCGAACUCGGAUAUAGCUGGUUCUCCCCGAAAUAGCUUUAGGGCUAGCGUUAUGAUAGAUUACCGGAGGUAGAGCACUGAAUGGGCUAGGGGCCGCGAGGUUACUGAACCCUAUCAAACUUCAAAUGCCGGAUAAUUGUUUCAUGGCAGUCAGACUGUGUGAGAUAAGUCGCAUAGUCAAAAGGGAAACAGCCCAGAUCUACAGCUAAGGUCCCAAAUGAAUACUAAGUGGAAAAUGAUGUGAAAUUGCUAAGACAACCAGGAUGUUGGCUUAGAAGCAGCCACUCAUUCAAAGAGUGCGUAAUAGCUCACUGGUCGAGUGAUUUUGCGCAGAAAAUUUAACGGGGCUAAGUAUUCAACCGAAGCUUAGGCAGUAU